UACGGAGGAUCCAAGCGUUAUCCGGAAUCAUUGGGUUUAAAGGGUCCGUAGGCGGUUUGGUAAGUCAGUGGUGAAAGCCCAUCGCUCAACGGUGGAACGGCCAUUGAUACUGCCAGACUUGAAUUAUUAGGAAGUAACUAGAAUAUGUAGUGUAGCGGUGAAAUGCUUAGAGAUUACAUGGAAUACCAAUUGCGAAGGCAGGUUACUACUAAUGGAUUGACGCUGAUGGACGAAAGCGUGGGUAGCGAACAG
Molecule: ribosomal RNA, 252 nt
Filed under: uncultured bacterium
Lineage: Bacteria
Also listed under: 1 other name
Description: partial 16S ribosomal RNA
Rfam family: Bacterial small subunit ribosomal RNA
Source: RNAcentral